ACUCCUGCGGGAGGCAGCAGUGGGGAAUAUUGGACAAUGGGCGCAAGCCUGAUCCAGCCAUGCCGCGUGAGUGAUGAAGGCCCUAGGGUUGUAAAGCUCUUUCACCGGUGAAGAUAAUGACGGUAACCGGAGAAGAAGCCCCGGCUAACUUCGUGCCAGCAGCCGCGGUAAUACGAAGGGGGCUAGCGUUGUUCGGAUUUACUGGGCGUAAAGCGCACGUAGGCGGACUAUUAAGUCAGGGGUGAAAUCCCGGGGCUCAACCCCGGAACUGCCUUUGAUACUGGUAGUCUUGAGUUCGAGAGAGGUGAGUGGAAUUCCGAGUGUAGAGGUGAAAUUCGUAGAUAUUCGGAGGAACACCAGUGGCGAAGGCGGCUCACUGGCUCGAUACUGACGCUGAGGUGCGAAAGCGUGGGGGGCAAACAGGAUUAGAUACCCCGGUAGUCCCAUG
Molecule: ribosomal RNA, 448 nt
Filed under: uncultured organism
Description: partial 16S ribosomal RNA
Rfam family: Bacterial small subunit ribosomal RNA
Source: RNAcentral